ACACUAGACUACACCGUACUGUUUUCAUGGUUAAACUGUUGGUGAGGAAUAGGUAGUAGUGUAUUGAUCAUUUUCCUUUGCAUGUUUCUCUUUGGUUUCCUCCAGGUGUCACCACUUCAUCCACGACAUCGUCCUCAAAGACUGAGACGUUGUGAUCGCAUUGUCCAUGAUCGCAGAGACCUUGUCAAAGAUGAGAGAGACGUUGUCCAUGAUCGGAGACAUUGUCCAUGACUCGUGGUGACUCGGUCCCCGAUAAGUCGGCAUCCCCGGCGUUCAUUGAGGCAUUGUCGAUGAUCACAGAGACACCGUCUAGGAUCUCAGAGACAUCGUCCACGAUCACUAAGACAUUGCCCACGAUCGCAGAGAGUCUUUGAACAAUGAGGAAGUUCUUUGAGACCAGGACAGAGGCCUCCAGGUGUCACCACUUCGUCCACGACAUCGUCCACGACAUCGUCCACGACAUCGUCCACCAUCGCAGAGACAUGGUCCACGAUCAGAGAGACAUUGUUGAGGAUGAGGGAGACAUCGUCCACGAUCAGAGACAUUGUCCACGAUCGCAGAGACCUUGUCAAAGACGAGAGAGGCGUUGUCCAUGAUCAGAGACAUUGUCCCAUGCUUCGCAGAGCUCUGCGCAAGAAUCGGUAGAGACACUGUGGUUCCUCGAUUCGACGGCAUGACCGCGAUCAGGAGACAUUGUUAAUGAUCAGAGAGACACCGUCUAUGAUCUCAGAGACAUCGUCCACGAUCACAAAGACAUCGUCAAUGAUCACAGAGACUUUGUCCAUAAUCUCAGAGACAUUGUCCGUGAUCACAGAGACGUAGUCCGCGAUCACAGAGAGACAUCGUCCAAAACUUGGUGUCACCACUUCAUCCACAACAUCGUCCUCAAAGACUGAGACGUUGUGAUCGCAUUGUCCAUGAUCGCAGAGACCUUGUCAAAGAUGAGAGAGACGUUGUCCAUGAUCGGAGACAUUGUCCAUGACUCGUGGUGACUCGGUCCCCGAUAAGUCGGCAUCCCCGGCGUUCAUUGAGGCAUUGUCGAUGAUCACAGAGACACCGUCUAGGAUCUCAGAGACAUCGUCCACGAUCACUAAGACAUUGCCCACGAUCGCAGAGAGUCUUUGAACAAUGAGGAAGUUCUUUGAGACCAGGACAGAGGCCUCCAGGUGUCACCACUUCGUCCACGACAUCGUCCACGACAUCGUCCACCAUCGCAGAGACAUGGUCCACGAUCAGAGAGACAUUGUUGAGGAUGAGGGAGACAUCGUCCACGAUCAGAGACAUUGUCCACGAUCGCAGAGACCUUGUCAAAGACGAGAGAGGCGUUGUCCAUGAUCAGAGACAUUGUCCCAUGCUUCGCAGAGCUCUGCGCAAGAAUCGGUAGAGACACUGUGGUUCCUCGAUUCGACGGCAUGACCGCGAUCAGGAGACAUUGUUAAUGAUCAGAGAGACACCGUCUAUGAUCUCAGAGACAUCGUCCACGAUCACAAAGACAUCGUCAAUGAUCACAGAGACUUUGUCCAUAAUCUCAGAGACAUUGUCCGUGAUCACAGAGACGUAGUCCGCGAUCACAGAGAGACAUCGUCCAAAA
Long non-coding RNA from Lates calcarifer (barramundi perch), 1591 nucleotides. RefSeq lists it as uncharacterized. NCBI's taxonomy places the organism in Eukaryota, Metazoa, Chordata, Actinopteri, Centropomidae. The record is from RefSeq and is a predicted model, not a curated record. The transcript is spliced from 4 exons.